This 253-nucleotide ribosomal RNA is filed under the name uncultured bacterium. Its description in RNAcentral is "partial 16S ribosomal RNA". It matches the Rfam family "Bacterial small subunit ribosomal RNA", at positions 524 to 776 of the family's 1533-position model. The record is from RNAcentral.
GACGUAGGGCGCGAGCGUUGUCCGGAUUUAUUGGGCGUAAAGAGCUCGUAGGCGGCUUGUCGCGUCGUCCGUGAAAACCCACAGCUCAACUGUGGGCUUGCGGUCGAUACGGGCAGGCUAGAGUUCGGUAGGGGAGACUGGAAUUCUCGGUGUAGCAGUGAAAUGCGUAGAUAUCGAGAGGAACACCAGUGGCGAAGGCAGGUCUCUGGGCUGACACUGACGCUCAUGCACGAAAGCGUGGGGAGCAAACAGG